UACGGAGGGUGCAAGCAUUAAUCGGAUUUAUUGGGCGUACAGGGCGCGUAGGCGGAAAUGUAAGUCAGAUGUGAAAUCCCGAGGCUCAACUUCGGAACUGCAUUUGAAACUACAUUCCUUGAGGGUAGGCGGAGAAAACGGAAUUCCACAAGUAGCGGUGAAAUGCGUAGAUAUGUGGAAGAACACCUGUGGCGAAAGCGGUUUUCUAGCUUACUCCUGACGCUAAGGCGCGAAAGCUAGGGGAGCAAACAGG
Molecule: ribosomal RNA, 253 nt
Filed under: uncultured prokaryote
Description: partial 16S ribosomal RNA
Rfam family: Bacterial small subunit ribosomal RNA
Source: RNAcentral